ACGUCAGCAAAAUAUAUCACAACAGUUAAAAAUAAUUGAUCAGGAUCAGUAGGAUCACAGGUUCACAUGGACAAAAAAAAAUACAGUGAUAAAAUUAUCAAAAAACUUCAUACCAUUUUUAAUCAACAUUAUGUGCGUUGGGCAACUAUCAGCAAUUUCUCCUUAGUGUGACAAACUAAAAUAAAAUAAAAAAUGCAUACUCUGUCCAUCAAAAUAAAACUGAUGUUUUGAAUAUUUAAAUCCUUCUGAUUACAUAAACACUCUCCACAAAAUGUAUCUUCCUCAUCAAUGUGGAUGGUUGUCACAGAAGCAUCCUAAAAGUCUUCUUCUAGUAUCUGACCGAUGGCGAGCAUCAGAUCAAAAAAUCCGGGUCUUCCUUCAGGUUUCU
Molecule: non-coding RNA, 388 nt
Organism: Pelobates cultripes (western spadefoot toad)
Lineage: Eukaryota; Metazoa; Chordata; Amphibia; Anura; Pelobatidae
Source: the annotation of a GenBank genome assembly